UGGCGGCGUGCUUAACACAUGCAAGUCGAACGGAGUUUUAACGGAAGUUUCGGAUGGAAGUUUAAGAACUAGUGGCGGACGGGUGAGUAACGCGUGGGUAACCUGCCUCAUACAGGGGGAUAACAGUUAGAAAUGACUGCUAACACCGCAUAAUAUAGCGAAACCGCAUGAUUUUUGCUAUCAAAUAUUUAUAGGUAUGAGAUGGGCCCGCGUCUGAUUAGCUAGUUGGUGGGGUAAAAGCCUACCAAGGCGACGAUCAGUAGCCGGCUUGAGAGAGUGACCGGCCACAUUGGGACUGAGACACGGCCCAAACUCCUACGGGAGGCAGCAGUGGGGAAUAUUGGACAAUGGGGGAAACCCUGAUCCAGCGAACCGCCGCGUGAGUGAAGAAGUAUUUCGGUAUGUAAAGCUCUAUCAGCAGGGAAGAUAAUGACAGUACCUGACUAAGAAGCCCCGGCUAACUACGUGCCAGCCGCAGC
Molecule: ribosomal RNA, 479 nt
Filed under: uncultured bacterium
Lineage: Bacteria
Description: bacterial SSU rRNA
Rfam family: Bacterial small subunit ribosomal RNA
Source: RNAcentral